AUGGCCCAAGAACACGCUCAUUCUUCAGCCGUAGAGAGACUUUUGAAUUGUGAGGUACCAUUACGAGCUCAAUAUAUAAGAGUGUUAUUCUAUGAAAUAACUCGAAUUUCAAAUCAUUCACUUGCUUCAACUACUCAUGCUAUGGGUGUGGGAGCAUCAACUCCGUUCCUUUGGGCUUUUGAGGAGCGGGAGAAAUUGUUGGAAUUCUAUGAAAGAGUCCCGGGAGCCAGGAUGCAUGCCAGUUUCAUACGACCUGGUGGAGUGGCACAAGAUUUGCCUCUUGGCUUAUGUCGAGAUAUUGAUUCCUCCACACAACAAUUUGCUUCUCGUAUCGACGAAUUAGAAGAGAUGUCAACCGGCAACCGUAUCUGGAAACACCGAUUAGUGGAUAUUGGUACUGUCACUGCACAACAAGCAAAGGAUUGGGGAUUCAGUGGUGUAAUGUUAAGAGGUCGUGCGACAUGA
This 465-nucleotide ribosomal RNA is filed under the name Triticum aestivum (bread wheat). RNAcentral's name for it is "partial small subunit ribosomal RNA". Lineage: Eukaryota; Viridiplantae; Streptophyta; Magnoliopsida; Poales; Poaceae. The record is from RNAcentral.